AACGAACGCUGGCGGCAUGCCUAACACAUGCAAGUCGAACGAAGCCUUCGGGCUUAGUGGCGCACGGGUGCGUAACGCGUGGGAAUCUGCCCCUUGCUUCGGAAUAACAGUUAGAAAUGACUGCUAAUACCGGAUGAAGUCUUCGGACCAAAGAUUUAUCGGCAAGGGAUGAGCCCGCGUAGGAUUAGGUAGUUGGUGGGGUAAAGGCCUACCAAGCCGACGAUCCUUAGCUGGUCUGAGAGGAUGAUCAGCCACACUGGGACUGAGACACGGCCCAGACGCCUACGGGAGGCAGCAGUGGGGAAUAUUGGACAAUGGACGUAAGUCUGAUCAAGCAAUGCCGCGUGAGUGAUGAAGGCCUUAGGGUUGUAAAGCUCUUUUACCAGGGAUGAUAAUGACAGUACCUGGAGAAUAAGCCCCGGCUAACUCCGUG
RNAcentral lists this ribosomal RNA (433 nucleotides) under uncultured bacterium. Its description in RNAcentral is "partial 16S ribosomal RNA". It matches the Rfam family "Bacterial small subunit ribosomal RNA", at positions 29 to 507 of the family's 1533-position model. The record is from RNAcentral.